CUCCCAUACAAUCACUGAAGUUAAGCAAUAUUGGGCCUGGUCAGUACUUAGAUGGGUAACUCCUUGGGAAUACCAGGAGCUGUAAG
Molecule: non-coding RNA, 86 nt
Organism: Acanthosepion pharaonis
Lineage: Eukaryota; Metazoa; Mollusca; Cephalopoda; Sepiida; Sepiidae
Source: the annotation of a GenBank genome assembly